This 640-nucleotide ribosomal RNA is filed under the name proteobacterium 5SA11. Its description in RNAcentral is "bacterial SSU rRNA". It matches the Rfam family "Bacterial small subunit ribosomal RNA", at positions 65 to 751 of the family's 1533-position model. Lineage: Bacteria; Pseudomonadati; Pseudomonadota. The record is from RNAcentral.
AGCGAGACCUUCGGGUCUAGCGGCGGACGGGUGAGUAACGCGUGGGAACGUGCCCUUCUCUACGGAAUAGCCCCGGGAAACUGGGAGUAAUACCGUAUACGCCCUUUGGGGGAAAGAUUUAUCGGAGAAGGAUCGGCCCGCGUUGGAUUAGGUAGUUGGUGGGGUAAUGGCCCACCAAGCCGACGAUCCAUAGCUGGUUUGAGAGGAUGAUCAGCCACACUGGGACUGAGACACGGCCCAGACUCCUACGGGAGGCAGCAGUGGGGAAUCUUAGACAAUGGGGGCAACCCUGAUCUAGCCAUGCCGCGUGAGUGAUGAAGGCCUUAGGGUUGUAAAGCUCUUUCAGCUGGGAAGAUAAUGACGGUACCAGCAGAAGAAGCCCCGGCUAACUCCGUGCCAGCAGCCGCGGUAAUACGGAGGGGGCUAGCGUUGUUCGGAAUUACUGGGCGUAAAGCGCACGUAGGCGGACUGGAAAGUCAGAGGUGAAAUCCCAGGGCUCAACCUUGGAACUGCCUUUGAAACUAUCAGUCUGGAGUUCGAGAGAGGUGAGUGGAAUUCCGAGUGUAGAGGUGAAAUUCGUAGAUAUUCGGAGGAACACCAGUGGCGAAGGCGGCUCACUGGCUCGAUACUGACGCUGAGG